UCNCACCUCUAGCGCCUCCCCGACCACACCC
RNAcentral lists this non-coding RNA (31 nucleotides) under Mus musculus (house mouse). Lineage: Eukaryota; Metazoa; Chordata; Mammalia; Rodentia; Muridae. The record is from RNAcentral.